Molecule: long non-coding RNA, 2917 nt
Organism: Felis catus (domestic cat)
Lineage: Eukaryota; Metazoa; Chordata; Mammalia; Carnivora; Felidae
Exons: 2
Source: RefSeq, a predicted model, not a curated record
UUAGUAAGUAGGCUCUACCCCCAACAUGGGGUUAGCUCUCACGACCCUGAGACCAAGCGUCAGUGCUCGGCCAACUGAGCCAGCCAGGCCCCCCAGUUUUUCCCCCCUGCCUUAUUCUAUCUGUUCUUUAUCACCUUGACCAUUUUUUAGAAGUUGGACUAAGGACCCCUUAGCCUAGCUUGACUCAUUUUCUAAACCUGAUUCCUCGAGGUGCUAACUGCGUGACUCUGAACGAGUUCUUUAACUUCUCUCGGCCUCAGAGUCCUCAUCAGUAAAAUGCGGGUAGUAAUUCCCAUGGACCUCACUGAAGUAACGUGUACAGUGCUCAAAAUCGUGUCUGGUAUGCAGUAAGCGCCAUGUAUGUGUUAGCUAUUAUCCGCAGCAUCCAGCCUCGCUUCUGGCACACAGUGGGUGCUAAGUAAGCGUGUGUGUUAGUGAAUGAGCCCACACGAAGGAUUCUGGGAAGGAGAGCCGGCCGGGAGGGAGAAGGAGGAGACAGAGCUGGAGUCGGAAGAGGUGGAGCCGAGCCCCUCCUCCUCCUGCAAACGAAGGCCUUGGCGGCGGGAGAAACGGGCCGGGCACGCAGGGCCUCGCGGUGGUUGGAGGGCAAGUGCGUGGGCCGGGGACGCGCCCAGGGCGGGAGGGCCGCGUGGGCCGAGGGCGGGUGGGAAGCCACGCCGACGCACCUGCGUGAGAGCGCGCCCGGCCCUCCCCUCGUACGUACGAAGCCCCUUUUACGCAUGCUCAGACAAAGGGCACAAAUUCUAGGAGACUUGAGGGAGGUCGCACAGUUGGUAAGAGGAGGGUUUGCUGGGAUUUGAACGCGUAUUUGAGGUCAGGCUCAAGCCCACCGGUCCGUACUUCUGUCCUUGAAAGCAGGCGCACACAUACCCUCUUCGUAGCCCUGACAGAGAACCAGAGAGCCGACAGCCCCAGUUGCCUACCUGUUAGAAGUCGCUCUCUUCACGGGGACGGGAGCGACAGGGACUGGCGGCGUCUUGUCCUGCUCCAGGAAGAGGUUCCGGUGAAGGCGCUGCCUGGGCCCCUGCGAGACCCAAGCACUUCAGGGCCCUGGGACUUGGGCGCCUGAUCAGCGGGGUCCCUCCUCUUGCACCUUUGAGGAAAGGCUUCUGCCCUGAGCUCGCAGAAGCAGCCAAGGUGCCGAGAGCUUUCUUCCCCUCGCCACUCCACUAAGCCAGGCUAAGUGACCUGUGUCCAGCCCGUGACCCGGCACUGUAUGCGCACUGCUCACGGUCCUGGGCCUGGGGAAGAUGCGGCGCUUGGGGCCAGGGGUGGGGACCCCCAAAGGGAUGCAGUAAAGGAGGCACCCGGGAAGGAUUACCUGGAAGAACGUGGAGGAGGUGGUGCCUCGUUUCUUCCUGAUGCCCGAGGGCCAGAGAAGGAGCAGACUGCCUGAUGGGUAUGAAGAUGCCGGCCGCUGGGUGUGCGGACGAGCUAAGUGCCAGUGCUCCGGAGAAGGGAGGUCCUCGACCUCCCUGGGAGGACAUACGCUUCUCCACAGCGCCCCCUGGAGUCUAAGCGGCUGGAGUUCACACGCCCAGUCCGGACCUUUCUGUCGAGGUACAAUCUGCCUCCAACAAGCAGCAGGGACCUCCAGUGGACAGCUCACCGCACUUACCAGUGUACACGCCACGGAACUAAGCCUCGGAUCAGCAUAUAGAACGUUUCAACGCCCAGGAUGAGCCUGUUUCUUUUUUGUUUGCUGUCAGGGCAGAGGGACGACUCUCUCCGGAAAUAGCCAUUUAGGAAGGUUCCAGCUUCCGGUCCCUCUUAGCCUUACUUUCUGUCUGCCCGGCAACCCCUCAUCAGCAGCUUUGCAAUAUUGUGAUCGCGCGCUUUUGGGAACCGGAGGGGACCUCAGGACGCCCAGCUUCUUCAGUCACCGACCAAGAGGACCUGGUGAGAGAGGGCCUUGCCCAAGCCCGCACGGAAGGCAGCUGUGGAGGCUGGGACUUGCUGCUGUUCCCGCCAAUCCCUCUUCGGAGCCUCAGUCGGAUUCUCCGAGUCCGCGGGCUGCGGGCUUUUCCGCUGGGGCCGCAUCUUCUAACAGGGAGCCCACGCCACCUGCUCCCUUCAGGGCUUUGGAGGACAGUCUCCACCGUCCUGCAUCACCAUCCCCGUCCCGAGCCCUUCCCUCCUCCUCCCAGAGGAAAAGGACAAACGGCCCCUGUCUCAGGCCGAGGACACCCGGAUCCGAUCCCGCGCAUCUGACUGGCCAACACCCAACUCAGACAAACAGCCCCCUGCAGCGGCUCGGAGGGGGACACGGCGGCUCUGCCACCACCCAGGCCCCCCCGGCCUGCCCUCCCGCCUCCCCAGAUCGCUUCUGAACCGUGGUUUGCAAGUCUCAGGUGUGUGAACCCACGAGAGGCUGAGUUUGGCAGGGAGGAAGGCCUGGAAACAGUUGAUGGAGGCGGAAAGAGCCCUUUGAGGAUGGAGCUGGGGAAGGGACGGCCCGGAAGAAAUGUGCGGUGAGCCAGACUGCACUCCCUUUGCCCGAGGUCCUCUCACCCCCGGUCCUCAGUCUGCCAGACACUCAGCAGACCGGGAGGGUUGGCUGCUGGGCUCGCUCUUCUGGGCCGAGGUCUUUGCCACCCGCUGCCGCAGACUCAGCAAGGUGACGGGAACCAGCCCGCCCAAGCCCUGACUUCUCUUCCUCGAGCACCCAGACCUGGCGUCAGGCAGCCGGCGACCAGCUUCUUGAUCCCUGCUGCGCACAAGCAGGUCCCGUUGACUGUUGCAUGAGGGAUGAGGACAGUUGGCAAGGCAGCCCUUUAGGCGGUGGCAGGGAGAGGCUGUGGGUGACUGGCAGGACCCCGUCUCCUUCCAGCGAGGUUCACACACAGCUGCCUCCCUCCUCCACCCUGCGAGCCCCAGGCCACGCUUCUCUCUGGCC